GAUAGAUAUUAAUUUAAAUAUUUAAUCUAAGAAUAUAAGGGUAGAGCUUUAUCAUUCAAUAAUAAAUGAAAUAUAAGUUAAUAAGUAUUUAUUUUGAUAAUUAGGUUUUUUAGUGGCCAUAUUUUUAAAGUGUUUUAACUAAUAUAAUUGAAUAAUUUAUUUAUUAGAUUUUAUUAAAUUAAUAAUAUGUUUUUUAAAAUGGAUAAAUAUUAGAAAUAAUGAAAAUAUUAGUAGAAUUAAUAUAUGAGAAAAAAGAAAAGUAUUAAAAGUAAAAUAUGAAAAUAGUUAAGAAAAAAAUAAAGGAACUCGGCAAAUAAGGUUCUUGCCUGUUUAACAAAAACAUGUCUCUAUGAAGUUAUAUGAAGUCUGACCUGCCCAUUGAAAUUUAUUAAAAGGCCGCGGUAUAUUAACUGUGCAAAGGUAGCAUAAUUAGUAGUUUUUUAAUUGAAGGCUUGUAUGAAAGGUUGGACAAGGGAUAAGCUGUCUUUAUUUUUAUUUUUGAAUUUGUCUUUUAAGUGAAAAGACUUAAAUAAGUUUAAGGGACGAUAAGACCCUAUAAAUCUUUAUAUUAGUUUAAUUUUAUUUUAAAUUUUAAUGUUUAAAAGAGUAAAGUUAAUAUAGUAUUGUAUUGGGGUGAUAGGAAUAAUUAGUAAACUGUUCGAAGGUAUAAACAAAAAUAUUUGAUUAUAAUUAUUAGUAGAUCCUUAGUGGAGAUUACAAGUUUAAGUUACUUUAGGGAUAACAGCGUUAUUUUUUUUGAGAGUUCUAAUCGAAAAAGAAGUUUGCGACCUCGAUGUUGAAUUAAAAUUUCUUUGUGGUGUAGUAGUUACAAGAGAGAGUCUGUUCGACUUUUAAAAUUUU
This 861-nucleotide ribosomal RNA is filed under the name Allogalathea elegans. Its description in RNAcentral is "partial 16S ribosomal RNA". The stretch from base 738 to 861 matches the Rfam family "Bacterial large subunit ribosomal RNA", at positions 2473 to 2597 of the family's 2925-position model. Lineage: Eukaryota; Metazoa; Arthropoda; Malacostraca; Decapoda; Galatheidae. The record is from RNAcentral.